RNAcentral lists this ribosomal RNA (377 nucleotides) under uncultured bacterium. RNAcentral describes it as "bacterial SSU rRNA". It matches the Rfam family "Bacterial small subunit ribosomal RNA", at positions 521 to 896 of the family's 1533-position model. The record is from RNAcentral.
UAAUACGGAGGGUGCGAGCGUUGUCCGGAAUCACUGGGCGUAAAGGGCGCGUAGGCGGCCUGGUAAGUAGGGGGUGAAAUCCUGCGGCUUAACCGCAGGGCUGCCUUCUAAACUGUCAGGCUCGAGCACGGUAGAGGCAGAUGGAAUUCCCGGUGUAGCGGUGGAAUGCGUAGAGAUCGGGAAGAACAUCAGUGGCGAAGGCGGUCUGCUGGGCCGUUGCUGACGCUGAGGCGCGACAGCGUGGGGAGCAAACAGGAUUAGAUACCCUGGUAGUCCACGCCGUAAACGAUGGGCACUAGGCGUCGGGGGGAGCGACCCUCCCGGUGCCGUCGCUAACGCAGUAAGUGCCCCGCCUGGGGAGUACGGCCGCAAGGCUG